RNAcentral lists this ribosomal RNA (279 nucleotides) under uncultured bacterium. Its description in RNAcentral is "partial 16S ribosomal RNA". It matches the Rfam family "Bacterial small subunit ribosomal RNA", at positions 506 to 784 of the family's 1533-position model. The record is from RNAcentral.
UGCCAGCCGCCGCGGUAAUACGAAGGGCCCGAGCGUUAAUCGGAAUCACUGGGCUUAAAGCGUACGCAGGCGGGCCAGUAAGUACCUUGUGAAAUCCCUCGGCUCAACCGAGGAACUGCUGGGUAUACUGCUGGCCUUGAGUGUGGUAGGGGCGGUCGGAACGGUAGGUGGAGCGGUGAAAUGCGUAGAUAUCUACCGGAACGCCGAAGGUGAAGACAGGCCGCUGGGCCACCACUGACGCUCAUGUACGAAAGCGUGGGGAGCGAACGGGAUUAGAUA